This 467-nucleotide ribosomal RNA is filed under the name uncultured bacterium. RNAcentral's name for it is "partial 16S ribosomal RNA". It matches the Rfam family "Bacterial small subunit ribosomal RNA", at positions 30 to 507 of the family's 1533-position model. The record is from RNAcentral.
AGUGAACGCUGGCGGUAGGCCUAACACAUGCAAGUCGAACGGCAGCACCGUAAGAGCUUGCUCUUACGUGUGGCGAGUGGCGGACGGGUGAGGAAUACAUCGGAAUCUACUUUUUCGUGGGUGAUAACGUAGGGAAACUUACGCUAAUACCGCAUACGACCUACGGGUGAAAGCAGGGGAUCUUCGGACCUUGCGCGAUUGAAUGAGCCGAUGUCGGAUUAGCUAGUUGGCGGGGUAAAGGCCCAUCAAGGCGACGAUCCGUAGCUGGUCUGAGAGAAUGAGCAGAGACACUGGGAGUGAGAAACAGUCGAGACUCUUACGCGAGGGAGGAGUGGGGAAUAUUGGACAAUGGGGGAAAGGAUGAACGAGCAAUGGCGGGUGAGUGAUGAAGGCGUGAGGGAAGUAAAGCACGUUUACCCGGGAUGAUAAUGACAGUACCGGGAGAAUAAGCCCCGGCUAACUCCGUG